RNAcentral lists this ribosomal RNA (525 nucleotides) under Xanthaciura insecta. RNAcentral describes it as "partial small subunit ribosomal RNA". The stretch from base 393 to 525 matches the Rfam family "Bacterial large subunit ribosomal RNA", at positions 2473 to 2605 of the family's 2925-position model. The record is from RNAcentral. Lineage: Eukaryota; Metazoa; Arthropoda; Insecta; Diptera; Tephritidae.
AAACAUGUCUUUUUGAGUUAUUUUUAAAGUCUAACCUGCCCAAUGAAAUUUUAAAUGGCCGCAGUAUUUUGACUGUGCAAAGGUAGCAUAAUCAUUAGUCUUUUAAUUGAAGGCUUGUAUGAAUGGUUGGACGAAGUAUAAACUGUUUCAUAUAAAUUUAUUAUAGAAUUUUAUUUUUUAGUAAAAAAGCUAAAAUUUUUUUAAAAGACGAGAAGACCCUAUAAAUCUUUAUAAUUUAUAUUUAUUUGAAUUUUUUAGAAAAAUUUUUUUUUAAUAGAUAAAAUUAUUUUGUUGGGGUGAUAUUAAAAUUUAAGAAACUUUUAAUAAUUUAUAACAUUAAUUUAUGAAUUACUGAUCCAUUAAUAAUGAUUAUAAGAAUAAGUUACUUUAGGGAUAACAGCGUAAUUUUUUUGGAGAGUUCAUAUUGAUAAAAAAGUUUGCGACCUCGAUGUUGGAUUAAGAGAUAUAUUUAGGUGUAGCAGUUUAAAUAUUAAGUCUGUUCGACUUUUAAAUUCUUACAUGAUC